Molecule: ribosomal RNA, 460 nt
Filed under: uncultured bacterium
Lineage: Bacteria
Description: partial 16S ribosomal RNA
Rfam family: Bacterial small subunit ribosomal RNA
Source: RNAcentral
CCUACGGGAGGCAGCAGUGAGGAAUAUUGGUCAAUGGACGAGAGUCUGAACCAGCCAAGUAGCGUGAAGGAUGACUGCCCUAUGGGUUGUAAACUUCUUUUAUAUGGGAAUAAAACGUUCCACGUGUGGGAUUUUGUAUGUACCAUAUGAAUAAGGAUCGGCUAACUCCGUGCCAGCAGCCUCGGUAAUACGGAGGAUCCGAGCGUUAUCCGGAUUUAUUGGGUUUAAAGGGAGCGUAGGUGGAUUGUUAAGUCAGUUGUGAAAGUUUGCGGCUCAACCGUAAAAUUGCAGUUGAAACUGGCAGUCUUGAGUACAGUAGAGGUGGGCGGAAUUCGUGGUGUAGCGGUGAAAUGCUUAGAUAUCACGAAGAACUCCGAUUGCGAAGGCAGUUCACUGGACUGCAACUGACACUGAGGCUCGAAAGUGUGGGUAUCAAACAGGAUUAGAUACCCCAGUAGUC